RNAcentral lists this long non-coding RNA (570 nucleotides) under Homo sapiens (human). Its description in RNAcentral is "HSALNT0091554". Lineage: Eukaryota; Metazoa; Chordata; Mammalia; Primates; Hominidae. The record is from RNAcentral.
UGCACUUUCAUAGCCUAGUGCCUUCUACCAGAGCCUCUUGAUAUAUUCACAUAAAUGAUGGAAGAUGCAUGAGACGUGAAGGUGACAUGUGCAGUCUCCAGGAGGAAACUGAUGCCCUGGUUGCUCGCUAAGGAGCCAUCCUGGCGUCAGCGGCAUACGCAGCCAUGCGGCUGCCCUCCCAGCUGGAAGGAAGGAGAGACUGGGUCUUGCUAUGUUGCCCAGGCUAGAGUGCAGUGGCUAUUCACAGGCACAAUCAUCACACACUACAGCCUUGAACUCCUGGCUUCAAAUGAUCCUCCCACUUCAGCCUCCUGAGUAGCUGAGACUACAGGCUGGCACCACUGCACCCAGCCUGAAAUCUUAAACUUUCUAUUCUAAAAAGGGUUCAAUUGGAAAAAUGUUGUUGACUUUCAUUAUAACCAAUUAUGUACUUAUAAGUAGUACAUCUUUCAUAAUAUCAGAAACAUGACAUAACAAAGAAUAAGCUUCUACAGUAUGAAAUCCCCCCACUGCCAUGUAACUCACCUUAUCUUGCUUUGUGUACCCAUGUUUUAAUCUUCCAGUUUGAAC